AUGCAGUCGAACGGUGCCGGACUUCGUUCUGCUGGCGAGUGCCUCGGGUAAGUCUGUAUCGGAACGUGCCCGUAGCGGGGGAUAACUACGCGAAAGCGUAGCUCUACCGCAUACGCCCUACGGGGGAAAGCAGGGGAUCGCAAGACCUUGCACUAUUGGAGCGGCCGAUAUCGGAUUAGCUAGUUGGUGGGGUAACGGCUCACCAAGGCGACGAUCCGUAGCUGGUUUGAGAGGACGACCAGCCACACUGGGACUGAGACACGGCCCAGACUCCAACGGGAGGCAGCAGUGGGGAAUUUUGGACAAUGGGGGAAACCCUGAUCCAGCCAUCCCGCGUGUGCGAUGAAGGCCUUCGGGUUGUAAAGCACUUUUGGCAGGAAAGAAACGUCGUGGGUUAAUACCCCGCGAAACUGACGGUACCUGCAGAAUAAGCACCGGCUAACUACGUGCCAGCAGCCGCGGUAAUACGUAGGGUGCAAGCGUUAAUCGGAAUUACUGGGCGUAAAGCGUGCGCAGGCGGUUCGGAAAGAAAGAUGUGAAAUCCCAGAGCUUAACUUUGGAACUGCAUUUUUAACUACCGGGCUAGAGUGUGUCAGAGGGAGGUGGAAUUCCGCGUGUAGCAGUGAAAUGCGUAGAUAUGCGGAGGAACACCGAUGGCGAAGGCAGCCUCCUGGGAUAACACUGACGCUCAUGCACGAAAGCGUGGGGAGCAAACAGGAUUAGAUACCCUGGUAGUCCACGCCCUAAACGAUGUCAACUAGCUGUUGGGGCCUUCGGGCCUUGG
This 784-nucleotide ribosomal RNA is filed under the name Achromobacter sp. RS3. RNAcentral describes it as "bacterial SSU rRNA". It matches the Rfam family "Bacterial small subunit ribosomal RNA", at positions 55 to 843 of the family's 1533-position model. The record is from RNAcentral. Lineage: Bacteria; Pseudomonadati; Pseudomonadota; Betaproteobacteria; Burkholderiales; Alcaligenaceae.